Molecule: long non-coding RNA, 218 nt
Filed under: Amborella trichopoda
Lineage: Eukaryota; Viridiplantae; Streptophyta; Magnoliopsida; Amborellales; Amborellaceae
Description: long non-coding RNA (ATRI_LNC002837)
Source: RNAcentral
UUCAUUCCUUGUGCUCCUUAGGGUUUGACAGUGGCCACGAUGCUUGUUGCAGAAGAGGGCAGAAUCGAGGGGAAUACAGGCGUGGGGCUACCACUUAUGAGAUUUGCCAAGAUGCAUCUAAUGUGUGUGAUUUGAACCCUAUCAUUACCACAAAGAAAGCAUACGUAGGCUUGCAGCCUACAAAUUAAAUUGCCGAAUCGGAAUAAGAGUUGUGUGAG